AGCUUUGCACAGUGGCAGUAUCGUAGCCAAUGAGGUUUAUCCAAGGCUUGAUUAUUGCUAAUUGAAACUUUUCCCAAUACCCCACCAUGACGACUUGAAAUAUAGUUGGUGUUGGCAAUUUUUGGCAGUGUCUACAGAGA
Molecule: small nuclear RNA, 140 nt
Filed under: Cebus imitator (Panamanian white-faced capuchin)
Lineage: Eukaryota; Metazoa; Chordata; Mammalia; Primates; Cebidae
Description: U4 spliceosomal RNA (ENSCCAG00000004196.1)
Rfam family: U4 spliceosomal RNA
About the family: U4 small nuclear RNA (U4 snRNA) is a component of the major U2-dependent spliceosome.
Source: Rfam by way of RNAcentral